GUCUCGCUUCGGCAGCACAUAGACUAAAAUUGGAACGAUAUAGAGAAGAUUAGCAUGGCCCCUGCACAAGGAUGACAUGCAAAUUUGUGAAGCGUUCCAUAUUUAA
Molecule: small nuclear RNA, 106 nt
Organism: Pongo abelii (Sumatran orangutan)
Lineage: Eukaryota; Metazoa; Chordata; Mammalia; Primates; Hominidae
Source: Ensembl